Molecule: ribosomal RNA, 345 nt
Filed under: uncultured Symbiodinium
Lineage: Eukaryota; Dinophyceae; Suessiales; Symbiodiniaceae
Description: partial Bacterial small subunit ribosomal RNA
Rfam family: Bacterial small subunit ribosomal RNA
Source: RNAcentral
AAGAUAAUGACGGUACCCGCAGAAGAAGCCCCGGCUAACUCCGUGCCAGCAGCCGCGGUAAUACGGAGGGUGCAAGCGUUGUCCGGAUUUAUUGGGUUUAAAGGGUGCGUAGGUGGGCCUUUAAGUCAGUGGUGAAAGCCUGCAGCUUAACUGUAGAAUUGCCAUUGAUACUGGAGGUCUUGAGUAUAGAUAAGGUAGGCGGAAUUGAUGAUGUAGCGGUGAAAUGCAUAGAUAUCAUCAGGAACUCCGAUUGCGAAGGCAGCUUACUGGUCUAUAACUGACGCUGAGGCACGAAAGCGUGGGGAGCGAACAGGAUUAGAUACCCUGGUAGUCCACGCCGUAAAC